This 76-nucleotide transfer RNA is filed under the name candidate division WS1 bacterium. Its description in RNAcentral is "tRNA-Ala". It matches the Rfam family "tRNA". From Rfam's summary of the family: Transfer RNA (tRNA) molecules are approximately 80 nucleotides in length. Their secondary structure includes four short double-helical elements and three loops (D, anti-codon, and T loops). The record is from RNAcentral. Lineage: Bacteria; Bacillati.
GGGGCCGUAGCUCAGCUGGGAGAGCGCUUGAAUGGCAUUCAAGAGGUCAGGGGUUCGAUUCCCCUCGGCUCCACCA